RNAcentral lists this ribosomal RNA (750 nucleotides) under gamma proteobacterium HA-mar-Is10-28. RNAcentral's name for it is "bacterial SSU rRNA". It matches the Rfam family "Bacterial small subunit ribosomal RNA", at positions 76 to 826 of the family's 1533-position model. Lineage: Bacteria; Pseudomonadati; Pseudomonadota; Gammaproteobacteria. The record is from RNAcentral.
UAGCUUGCUAGAAGAUGACGAGUGGCGGACGGGUGAGUAAUGCUUGGGAACUUGCCUUUGCGAGGGGGAUAACAGUUGGAAACGACUGCUAAUACCGCAUAAUGUCUUCGGACCAAACGGGGCUUNGGCUCCGGCGCAAAGAGAGGCCCAAGUGAGAUUAGCUAGUUGGUAAGGUAACGGCUUACCAAGGCGACGAUCUCUAGCUGUUCUGAGAGGAAGAUCAGCCACACUGGGACUGAGACACGGCCCAGACUCCUACGGGAGGCAGCAGUGGGGAAUAUUGCACAAUGGGGGAAACCCUGAUGCAGCCAUGCCGCGUGUGUGAAGAAGGCCUUCGGGUUGUAAAGCACUUUCAGUUGUGAGGAAAAGUUAGUAGUUAAUACCUGCUAGCCGUGACGUUAACAACAGAAGAAGCACCGGCUAACUCCGUGCCAGCAGCCGCGGUAAUACGGAGGGUGCGAGCGUUAAUCGGAAUUACUGGGCGUAAAGCGCACGCAGGCGGUUUGUUAAGCUAGAUGUGAAAGCCCCGGGCUCAACCUGGGAUGGUCAUUUAGAACUGGCAGACUAGAGUCUUGGAGAGGGGAGUGGAAUUCCAGGUGUAGCGGUGAAAUGCGUAGAUAUCUGGAGGAACAUCAGUGGCGAAGGCGACUCCCUGGCCAAAGACUGACGCUCAUGUGCGAAAGUGUGGGUAGCGAACAGGAUUAGAUACCCUGGUAGUCCACACCGUAAACGCUGUCUACUAGCUGUGUG